Molecule: long non-coding RNA, 1882 nt
Organism: Homo sapiens (human)
Lineage: Eukaryota; Metazoa; Chordata; Mammalia; Primates; Hominidae
Exons: 2
Source: RefSeq, a predicted model, not a curated record
GGGAGCUACCUUGGAGGCUGGAUGUCAAGGGGAGUUUAGGACCACAAAGACCCAGAGGUUUGGUGGCUGACUAUAGAAAUGGGAAAGGACUGCUGUAUAGAAGAGGGAGACUUAUUCUGUGUGGCUUCCAAGGAUGGAAUUCAAAACAAUACACAGAGGUUUCUGGGAGGCAGAUGUUAAUGUGUUUAAGGAAGAACCUCCUAGCAAUAAUCUGCCCAAAUAGAAUGCCAGUACUAAGGCAGCUCAUUCUAUUUGGGGCAGUAGUACUUAGUACUACCUUAGAGACUGAGCCCCUGAGUACUGGAAGAGUAGAGCACAGGCUGGGUGUCCUCUCCCAGGGACACCAUAUGCAGAACCCUGACUGGGUAGAAAGUUAGCUGUGAGUACCUCCAACUCUUUGAUAUUUCACUUCUGGACUAGGGGAGAAUUUUGUGAAAUGAGACCCUUAGGGCUUCAUUUCUUUUAGUUUUGAGGAAAAACAAAUUUUUCAUGGAACUAUGAGGUCUUUGCUUCUGAACCAGUAUGGCUUGGAGAAACUAUUAAGAGGUAAAAUGACCCUGGUGUUUCUGGAAUCCCCCAACAUUUCUCCUUGUAAGAGCAGAGCUCCAAGUUGCUUGAUUUACACUUAGCCCAGGGGAUUUAAACCAGGAAUUCCCAACUUUUUUAUGAGGCAGAGCCUUUAGAUCAUGGAAGAGGCAGGAAUGUUGGCAUGGAGUUUUCCUCACGGGGAAUCCUGGCACACCUUGGAGAGAGGGAGGGGGGUUGCAGCUCUGGGGGAUAUUAUCCAGGGAAGGCUCAGAUAUCCACCAACGGAAAUCAGUCCACUCUUUGAGCAUGCAAAAAUACUAGCUGAUGCUUUGCUGGGGAUUCCCAUAGAGAGAACUGAGAAUGCACUCAUUUUUAAAAUAGCCUCAUGGAGAAACUUUUUAAGUGGUUGGUGGGGGUGGCGAGGCACUGUUAUAUUGGUCACCAUGUGGGCAUAUAAUGUAGAAAACGUCCAUAAGCAAAGGGUUUCCAGGGAAAUUAACACUACAGCAUACCACGUUUACUCCUCCCUUAGUCCAAUCUACCCUUGGACACUCACUGAAAUGAUCUGUGAAAUAUGAAACCAUUUCUAAAUGUAUAUCAGUACUAGAAGCUCUGAAGAAUUUCUGCCAGUGAGCGUGCAGGUGGCAGCCCUCCUACCCUAGUCCAACAAUCACUCCUCUGGAAGACAGGAUUGUCAGGAGCAGAAUCACCCAAACAGCCCAACCUUGGAAGGCCAAGGUAUGAGGGUGAGGGCAGGCCAUCUGGAUCCUGCCAAUGCCUUAAGAAAGGACACAGUCAAGGCCACAAUAAGUGACAAACUCAGUCAGCUCUCACUACUGGCAUGGCAUGAAUGUCUGGAAAACACAGGGGAAAAGAGAAAACUCUUUGCCCCAAAAUAUUGAAUAGGGCCAUUGUCUCUGUUGAAGCCCAAAUUAACUCCCCAUGAUGCUACACGAAAGCAGAUCUUUCUCUGUAAAGAUGAUGAUGCAAGAAAUCGCUGGCCACAAGAAAGGAUUUCAUCAUAUGAGAAGAUUUUUUGAGGAAUUUCAACUAAUGCCUCUAUUCCUAAGAAAUGGGUAAAGAUAUUGAAUAAUCUAAUUUAUGUCUUCAAGACUGAAGCUGACACUGCAUCUAUGAAACAAGUAAGAAACAGCUACAAAGAGAUGACAGAAUAUGGUGACCAAUUUUAAAUCCAUAAUACACUAAUGAGCAGAAGAUUAGAUAUCACAGUAAAGUCAGUAAUUUUUUUUAAUGGGCUGGAAAAUUUCUCCCAGAACUCAGGACUGAAAAACAAAAAUAAUGAGAAAAAAAGGAAAAAAGGACCCGGUGAUCCAAUAUACAGAUAAUUCCAAAA